This 2155-nucleotide long non-coding RNA is filed under the name Heterocephalus glaber (naked mole-rat). RNAcentral's name for it is "lncRNA (ENSHGLG00000036189.1)". The record is from RNAcentral. Lineage: Eukaryota; Metazoa; Chordata; Mammalia; Rodentia; Bathyergidae.
GUGCGCAGCCGCCAUGGCGAGUGGGCGGGGACAGGGUGGGGCGGUGAGAAUCGGCCACGCCUCCGACUCCGGGACUAACGCGGCGUUCUGUCCUGCACUGCAAAAGUCUUCCAGAGGGCUGAGCUGUUGUUGACCACCAGGAACUGAAACGAGGGAAAGUAUAACCAUGGAUAAGAGAGGAUUACUGCAUAUCUAUACUGUGGGAUUCUACUCAGCAGUAAAAAGAAAUGAGCUAUUGACAUACAUAACAAUGUGGAUGGACCUCUGAGGCUCUACGUUGAAUGAAAAAAAAAAGGUCCAUACCCAGGCUUUGAAGUCCGAGGCAUCAAAUGACACAACUCUGUAUGGCUCCUCAAUUGCAGCCACAGGAAAGAUUCUGGACUGGGACCAUCUAGCUGAGUGACUCCUCCAUUCUUACCUCCAUGAAGAUGUGAUGUCUCCCUCCUCCUCAUGGCUUGUGACUUUGGCCUGCUGCCUGGUGCCACUCUUCCUGGAUUGCACUCCCCAGUGUUGGGCACUCAAAAGGAAAUCAGAUGGAGCCUCGAGAAGGCCACAGUAAUCAGUUCAAUGUGAAAUUAUUACAAUAGAGGUACAGUGCUCUGGAGUGCAGCUUAUCAAGUAAGUGACAUCAGUGCUGGGAUUGAUAAAUCAGGAGGAAUUUCUCAGGGAGGAGAACUUGAGGCAGAGAAAGUGCUGUUCCUGAAAAGACUGUGUGCACACAAUUUUAGAUUAUUACUGUUGGUCAAAUAACUAGUAAUGCAUAUUUCAUGUUCAGCUCAGUAGGGGCCCAAGAAAGUUCAUGGUCUUUCCUUAAGGGAGAUGAGAAUCUAGCUGGAGACACAAAACCACAACUGACUGCCUAGCAAGCCUACAAGGCAGCCUAUUAUUGCCAAAGAGAUUAGGCAGAAUCAGGGUGCCACAAGAGGGGUGAAUGGCCCAAGUAACCCAAGAAUGGAGCAGUAAAAAAAAAAAACUUCACAAGAAAGGCAGCUAAAUGGAGCCUCAGAGGACAGAACAGAGCAGAAGCAAACCCUGAAGUCACAUGCUUUCCCAAGGGUGGAAUUGAGGGCAUCUCACAACUUAUGGAGGAGCCUCACACACAGGAAGACUACUACAUCAUUACAGUAAUGGUGCCAAGGAUGUGCUCAUGGAGGUCAGUGAAUUAUCCAGUUAUUGAAAUCAAUGACUUUCCUUCACUCCCUGUUCUCUCUGUUCCAGGGAGGGAGCAAGCAGAUAAGUUGUACAGCAAGAAGAUGGAGUAGUCACCAGGUUGUUUUGUCAACUGUAAUUGGAUCCCGUACUCUACCCACAAUAAUGGUGUUCCUGGGAAGAAGUCAUGAGCUUUGGGCAUAUGUAACCCUCUUAUGCAUUACUAGUAGUGAGUUGAACAAAAUCCUUCCAGAUUUGCUAAGCUGAGGUCCCAGGCCUCACAGAAGGAAGAAUUGUGAGUUGGGAUCUUAAAUAGAAGAACAAAGUUAAAAAAUGGGCCUCAAUUUUUAUAAACCUAACCCUCUGCAAUUCCCCUUGUUUUGAGACAAAGGAGAACAUUUUACACCACUGGAAUAAACAAACUGUAGGGAUACCUACACCAGCUGAAAAACAACAGAUAAAACACUCUCUGCACAAGUAAUUGUAAGACCACACCUUUAACACAUUACCAAUAGCUGCUUUCUCAAAACAUUUCCUUGUUCCUUGGGGGAAGUCACUUUUAAAUGAUAGUUAUAGUGCUGGUGAGGUAGCUCAGUGGUAGAGAACUCAAGGCCUUUGGUUCAGUCCCCAGGACCAUCAAAUAAAAAAGGUGAUAGUCCAUAGACAAUUGGGCUCUUGUUUUUUGUUAUUGUAAACUAGGCAACACAAUUUUUGGUACUUGUUCAGUCUGUAAAGAAAUCCUUCCCAUCCCUAACUGUGAGUCUCCACAGUGGAAAGAAAGAAAGGUGCCUCCAGGACAAAGAACAGAUAAAUGAGAAGGAGGACAGAGGACAUUCCAUUCCUAACUCAGCCAAAGGUUGACAUUUCACAAAGAAUAUGUGGACAUCCAUGUUGUGUUGACAAAGCCCCAUGCCUGGGUACCGAGGUGUCCACAAGGAUGAGGGGACACGGAGCGCCCAGUUGUUGUAGCCACAGUAGCAGGGACGAUUGAACACUUGGGCACCUG